GAUGAACGCUGGCGGCGUGCCUAAUACAUGCAAGUCGAGCGAACAGACGAGGAGCUUGCUCCUCUGACGUUAGCGGCGGACGGGUGAGUAACACGUGGAUAACCUACCUAUAAGACUGGGAUAACUUCGGGAAACCGGAGCUAAUACCGGAUAAUAUAUUGAACCGCAUGGUUCAAUAGUGAAAGACGGUUUUGCUGUCACUUAUAGAUGGAUCCGCGCCGCAUUAGCUAGUUGGGAAGGUAACGGCUUACCAAGGCAACGAUGCGUAGCCGACCUGAGAGGGUGAGCGGCCACACUGGAACUGAGACACGGUCCAGACUCCUACGGGAGGCAGCAGUAGGGAAUCUUCCGCAAUGGGCGAAAGCCUGACGGAGCAACGCCGCGUGAGUGAUGAAGGUCUUCGGAUCGUAAAACUCUGUUAUUAGGGAAGAACAAAUGUGUAAGUAACUGUGCACGUCUUGACGGUACCUAAUCAGAAAGCCACGGCUAACUACGUG
RNAcentral lists this ribosomal RNA (497 nucleotides) under uncultured bacterium. RNAcentral's name for it is "partial 16S ribosomal RNA". It matches the Rfam family "Bacterial small subunit ribosomal RNA", at positions 28 to 507 of the family's 1533-position model. The record is from RNAcentral.